UAUGUGAUCGUCUCUAGCAUAUCAAUAAGCGGAGGAAAAGAAACUAACAAGGAUUCCCCUAGUAACGGCGAGUGAAGCGGGAAGAGCUCAAAUUUGAAAUCUUAAAGGGUUUCCCUUUACGAAUUGUAGUUUAAAGAAGUGUUUUCUGUUGAGGUUUUGGUAAAAGUUCUUUGGAAUAGGACAUCCAUAGAGGGUGAGAAUCCCGUAUUUGACCUUUACUUUCAACUUUGUGAUACACUUUCAAAGAGUCGGAUUGUUUGGGAGUGCAGUCCAAAAUGGGUGGUAAAUUUCAUCUAAAGCUAAAUAUUGGCGAGAGACCGAUAGCGAACAAGUACCGUGAGGGAAAGAUGAAAAGAACUUUGAAAAGAGAGUUAAACAGUACGUGAAAUUGUCAAAAGGGAAGCGUUUGACACCAGUGUUGUUUUUCUGAAAAUCAAUUAAAGAACUGUUUAUGCUAAGUUGUUUAGACUUUAUCAGCUAUCUGUUUAGUUUUGAGCCUUUUCUUUAAUGCACUUUUCAGUUAACAAGUCAACAUCAAUUUCUUUUGCUGUAAAAAAGCUUGAGGAAGGUGGCUUGAGAUUCGUCUUAAGUGUUUAUAGCCUCUUGCCUAUGCAGUCGGAGAGAUUGAGGUCUGCAGCGUAGAUCCUUCGGGGCUAAAUGCAUUUGUGCUAAGUUAUAGCAUUUUAUAGACAACUUGUUGACUAUGAUUUGUCUUGUAGCUUACUCGCUUAUGUGAUCGUCUCUCGCAUAUCAAUAAGCGGAGGAAAAGUACCUACGCUUAGGAUGUUGAAGUCAUCGUAUCGCGC
Molecule: ribosomal RNA, 806 nt
Filed under: uncultured Neocallimastigales
Lineage: Eukaryota; Fungi; Neocallimastigomycota; Neocallimastigomycetes; Neocallimastigales
Description: partial large subunit ribosomal RNA
Rfam family: Eukaryotic large subunit ribosomal RNA
Source: RNAcentral